CUAUGUUCGGACAGGAUAACCGCUGAAAGCAUCUAAGCGGGAAGCCCCCUUCAAGAUGAGAUCUCACUGGGGCCUUGAGCCCCCUGAAGAGCCGUUCAAGACCAGGACGUUGAUAGGCUGGGUGUGUAAGCGUUGUGAGGCGUUGAGCUAACCAGUACUAAUUGCUCGUGAGGCUUGACCAUA
RNAcentral lists this ribosomal RNA (183 nucleotides) under Amphritea atlantica. RNAcentral's name for it is "23S rRNA. Bacterial LSU". It matches the Rfam family "Bacterial large subunit ribosomal RNA", at positions 2749 to 2925 of the family's 2925-position model. Lineage: Bacteria; Pseudomonadati; Pseudomonadota; Gammaproteobacteria; Oceanospirillales; Oceanospirillaceae. The record is from RNAcentral.